This 253-nucleotide ribosomal RNA is filed under the name uncultured bacterium. Its description in RNAcentral is "partial 16S ribosomal RNA". It matches the Rfam family "Bacterial small subunit ribosomal RNA", at positions 524 to 776 of the family's 1533-position model. The record is from RNAcentral.
UACGUAGGGUGCGAGCGUUAAUCGGAAUUACUGGGCGUAAAGCGCGUGUAGGCGGCUCGGCAAGUCGGACGUGAAAGCCCGGGGCUCAACCCCGGAAGUGCGCUCGAAACUGCCAAGCUCGAGUCCUGGAGAGGAAGGCGGAAUUCUCGGUGUAGAGGUGAAAUUCGUAGAUAUCGAGAGGAACACCGGUGGCGAAGGCGGCCUUCUGGACAGUGACUGACGCUGAGACGCGAAAGCGUGGGGAGCAAACAGG